Molecule: non-coding RNA, 77 nt
Filed under: uncultured Prevotella sp.
Lineage: Bacteria; Pseudomonadati; Bacteroidota; Bacteroidia; Bacteroidales; Prevotellaceae
Source: RNAcentral
UAAGGGGUGCCCUCCAUUUGGCGGGCUGAGAUCACACCCUCAUACCUGAUCCGGAUAAUGCCGGCGUAGGAAUCAGU